RNAcentral lists this ribosomal RNA (503 nucleotides) under uncultured bacterium. RNAcentral's name for it is "bacterial SSU rRNA". It matches the Rfam family "Bacterial small subunit ribosomal RNA", at positions 29 to 523 of the family's 1533-position model. The record is from RNAcentral.
AACGAACGCUGGCGGCGUGCUUAACACAUGCAAGUCGCGUGCGCAGUUUCCCUGUAGCAAUACAGGGGGAUGGGCGCACGGCGCACGGGUGCGUAACACGUGGGCAAUCUGCCCUCUGAUGGGGAAUAACCCCGCGAAAGCGGGGCUAAUUCCGCAUAACAUUCCCUGGACGAUGGUUUGGGGAUUCAAAGCCGUAAGGCGUCAGAGGAGGAGCCCGCGCCCGAUUAGCUAGUUGGUGAGGUAAUGGCUCACCAAGGCAAUGAUCGGUAGCUGGUCUGAGAGGAUGAUCAGCCACACUGGAACUGAGACACGGUCCAGACUCCUACGGGAGGCAGCAGUGGGGAAUCUUGCACAAUGGGCGAAAGCCUGAUGCAGCGACGCCGCGUGGGGGAUGAAGCUUUUCGGAGUGUAAACCCCUUUCGACCGGGAAGAAUGCCUCGCAAGAGGAGUGACGGUACCGGUAUAAGAAGCCCCGGCUAACUACGUGCCAGCAGCCGCGGUAA